Anolis carolinensis (green anole) is the source of this 73-nucleotide microRNA precursor. Ensembl annotates it as aca-mir-34c. Its record names the gene aca-mir-34c. The record is from Ensembl. Lineage: Eukaryota; Metazoa; Chordata; Lepidosauria; Squamata; Anolidae.
UGGUUUGUAGGCAGUGUAGUUAGCUGAUUGUGAGGUUUCCUUGGCAAUCACUAGCUUUACUGUCAUCAAAACA